This 77-nucleotide transfer RNA is filed under the name Kiritimatiellia bacterium. Its description in RNAcentral is "Kiritimatiellae bacterium (gut metagenome) tRNA-Pro". It matches the Rfam family "tRNA". Rfam says of the family: Transfer RNA (tRNA) molecules are approximately 80 nucleotides in length. Their secondary structure includes four short double-helical elements and three loops (D, anti-codon, and T loops). Lineage: Bacteria; Pseudomonadati; Kiritimatiellota; Kiritimatiellia. The record is from RNAcentral.
CGGGCCGUAGCGCAGACUGGUAGCGCGUUUGCUUGGGGUGCAAAAGGUCGCUGGUUCAAAUCCAGUCGGCCCGACCA